This 1078-nucleotide long non-coding RNA is filed under the name Phasianus colchicus (ring-necked pheasant). Its description in RNAcentral is "lncRNA (ENSPCLG00000003063.1)". Lineage: Eukaryota; Metazoa; Chordata; Aves; Galliformes; Phasianidae. The record is from RNAcentral.
GCUGAAUCAUGGCCUGAACCUCUGAUUGACCACCUGAGGCAAGCAAUGAGUCAGCCCUGGGAGCACAGGUGGAGGUAAUUGCUGCCGGAAGUAGAACCUUGCUCCACCUCUCCCAGACCCCAUUUAAGAUCUGACUACCAUUAGGGAAGGGUCUCUUUUGGAGAUCGUUCCUCUUGGAGUCUUCUCAGUAAGCCCAGAAUGGGGGUAAGCUUUCCAUCCGUCCAUUCUUUUUUAGUGUGAUAACUUGUUUAGCAUAACUUGCUUAUAUAUUUCUUAAUUAUAACAUUCAUAUAUUCAUUGAUUAUGCAAAAGCUGUUUUCUGUUAUGUUAAUUUUUGACUUAACAAAUGAAUUCUGUUAUGAGGCAGACAAAUUCAUUGUAAGUAUGUUUAUCUGAGGUCUGACCUUCUUGGGGUAAUUAGAUAUUGAUAGUAGUGGGAUACUGAUGUUACAGAAUAGGUUAAUAAUGAUGUGACACAGGCUUGGAUAGCCUUGUUUACUACGGAUAACAAUAAGAAAAAUCACAUAUUUUUGUUCUAUUUCUGGAUAUAUCUUUCGUUAAGAAAAAAAAAUCAAGCAAUCCAGGUUAUUUGAAGUCAUCCAAAAACAAACAAAAACAAAGCAGAAUAUCUGUACCUGAUACUAAAGGAAUCUAUAGCUUUAAAGAGUUUAUAUUUUUUUUUCUCCAGGUCAGAAAUAUGCAAAGCCACAUACUGAUGCUACACUUAUAGGAUAAAAGCCACGAAAGAAGAAUUUGGAGUUAACCAUUUGGAAUACAACUUGGGUGCUUCAAAUGGUGCAUCAAAGUCUGACAGUAACAAGGUCUCCUGAAGAGCUGUGGGGAUAUAAUUUCAGAGGUCCUGUUGCUUCUAUGGCUGCUGCAGCUGGCAAGGAGUGGAGUAGCUUGGGACUGUUCCAGCUGGUGUGUGGCAACCUGGAAUACCUGCAACAAGCAAGCUGGCCCUUACCUUCUGCUUGGUAAAAUUUGAAAUAACAUUUUGCUGAUUCCUCCAUCUUCUGUCUCAAAGCCAGUUAUUUGAAUUGAUAUUUUAAUAAAAUUAUGAAGGAGAGAAAGAACA